GGCGAGGUAGCUCAGCAGGUAGAGCACGCGACUGAAAAUCGCGGGGCCGGCGGUUCGAUCCCGUCCCUCGCCA
This 73-nucleotide transfer RNA is filed under the name Amycolatopsis umgeniensis. RNAcentral's name for it is "tRNA-Phe". It matches the Rfam family "tRNA". Rfam says of the family: Transfer RNA (tRNA) molecules are approximately 80 nucleotides in length. Their secondary structure includes four short double-helical elements and three loops (D, anti-codon, and T loops). The record is from RNAcentral. Lineage: Bacteria; Bacillati; Actinomycetota; Actinomycetes; Pseudonocardiales; Pseudonocardiaceae.